Long non-coding RNA from Macaca mulatta (Rhesus monkey), 5412 nucleotides. The record is from Ensembl. NCBI's taxonomy places the organism in Eukaryota, Metazoa, Chordata, Mammalia, Primates, Cercopithecidae.
GUCCAGGCUGGAGUGCAAUGGCGCGAUCUUGGCUCACCACAACCUCCACCUUCUGGGUUCAAGCGAUUCUCCUGCCUCAGCCUCCUGAGAAGCUGGGAUUACAGGCAUGCGUCACCACGCCCGGCUAAUUUUUCUACUUUUAGUAGAGAUGGGGUUUCUCCAUGUUGGUCAGGCUGGUCUGGAACUCCUGACCUCAGGUGAUCUGCCCACCUCGGCCUCCCAAAGUGCUGGGAUUACAGGCGUGAGCCACCGUGCCUGGCUGCUGAGCUAAUUUUUAAAAAUGUUUAAAUUUGUUUUCUUUGUAGAGACAGAGCCUUGCUAUGUUGUCCAGGCUGGUCUUUAGCUCCUGGUCUCAAGCGAUUCACCCAGCUUGCCCUACCGAAGCAUUGGAAUUACAGGCAUGAGCCACUGCGUCCGGCCCUAUCCUUCUUUCUUAACAGCUUAUCAUCAUCUGCCUUUUCUAUAUUUAACUUACUAUCUUGUUUAUCGUUUUUUAAAAUCUUCCCUCCUAAACCCCUAAGCUGUUACCUCCAUGAAGACCAAGGUUUCUGUCUGUUUGCAGUAAUGUGUCCUGACGUAUCUGGCGUACAGUAGGAGCUCAACAAAGAUCAGUGCCAUGAAUGGCACCUGUGAAGAGAAGAGCCCGGAGGGGAAGUUGGGGUGGAGCUGCAGAGAGUGCUUAGGAGGCUACUGCUGUUGUGAUAAUCAACCUGAUUCUUCAGCCUCGAGCUUUGUCUCCAAGGGGCAAGGCGGGGAGAGGAAGGUGCUUUUCUUAGGAGGAAGAGAUAAAUCAUAAGGACAGAACUGAUAUUAAAGGCUUGGUCCGAAAAAGGAAGCUUCCAGGGAAUGUUAUGAAGAGUCCACAUGGGUCAGACUUAACUGUGCUUUCUAGUUCAUCAUGAAUGAUUAUUCAGAUUCAGAAUGACAGCAUUAAAGAACUGUGAAUUCUCCAUGAAAUAUGAGAUUUUCUUCUACUUGUGAUUUAGCUGAUAUUCAAUCUUGUUUCAUAAAAAAUGACAUUUGCCAUAUUAAACAUGUUUAAAGAUGGAAAACUAUUUCUUGCAUAUUAAAAGAGUACAAGAAAUAUUUAUAUAUACAUAUAAAUAUAUAGUAAGACAUAUUUAAAAUAUGUAAAGAUGAAACAAAACCUUUAUUUGUAGAUAGCUGAGUAACUAGAAAAUAUAAUUGGCCAGGCAUGGUGGCUCACGCCUGAAAUUCCAGCACUUUGGGAGGCCGAGGUGGGUGAUCACCUGAGGUCAGGAGUUUGAGACCAGCCUGACCAAUAUGAUGAAACCCUGUCUCUACUAAAAAUACAAAAAUUAGCCAGGUGUGGUGGCAGGCACCUGUAAUCCCAGUUACUUACGAGGCUGAGACAGGAAAAUUGCUUGAACCCGGGAGGCGGAGGUUGCAGUGGGCUGAGAUCAUGCCAUUGUACUCCAGCCUGGACAACAAGAGCGAAACUCCAUCUCAAAAAAAAAAAAAAAAGAAAGAAAAGAAAGGAAAAAGAAAGUAUAAUGAAGCCAAAUACAUAUUCUCCCAAGCGUUAUGAUUAAAGCUAAUUUGCUGUUUGUUUUGUUGUGCUUGUUUUUUGUUUGUUUGUUUGUUUCUAGUUUGCUUAUUCAUUGCUGUUUUUAAAGAUAGUAACUAUGAGUCCUUCAGCUGGUGAAUAAAAUCCUCUAAGUUUUAACAUUUUAAAUUGAAUUAUAUAAACACUGAAAAUGGAUUAAAAUAAAUCUAGUUGUUCAAAAGCAUAUGUUGUGUUUUCUAGCUGACCUGGCUAGGGAACCACUGCAUGUUUGUGUUGUAACAACAGAGUUGGGUCAUAGAUUUUAAGGAAGUAUAAAUGGGCAAAAAUAAAAGUGUUGGCCUUGAUCAAUGUCACACACACCUCUUUUUCAAUGAAUUCCAACUUUCUGUUCAGUCUCAGUCUGUAAUGAGACUCUGACUUUCACCUAUACUCGUGAGAUUAGAAAAAAAAUCUGCCUCUGGGACAGAGGUCAGAGAGCUAAUCCCAGUCAUGGAGACUUCGCUGAAGGUUUGCAGGCUGCACGAAUACCUCCGGGCAGCAAAGAAAAAUAGGUCAGGGCAUAGUGCUUAGCUGUGUGAUCCUGGGUAGGUUAGUUAACAUUUCUGUUCCUCUGUAAAAUUGGGAUCCUAAUAGCACAUAUACCAUAAAGCUGUAUGAAGGAUUAACUGAGUUAAUACAUGUAAAACUCUUGGGAGAGUGCUUGGGACAUGGUGAGUGUUUAAGAAGAAUAUCUGCCAUUAUUAGGCUGUGAGUUGCUGACAACUUUUCCCCCUCCCCAAAAUGGCUACUGCUCUGUAAAGAAGAGAGAAGAAAACUAAGCUGGAGUGGGAGGGAUUUGUAACCAGUGAGGGGAGAAAAUCACUUACUAAAGAACAAAGUUUUCUUUUAUAUAUCUUGAAAAUGAAAACGUUCACAAAAGACAAGUAUUCUGCCUAGUAAAAAUGCCAGUUAGGGAGACAAAACGCUGACUCCUCCCAGCUCGCAGCACGAGGAGGAGGAGGGCAGAGCCAAAGGGACUUUUAGCUGAGUAAUAGGCAGUAUCCCUCGUGAACGCCACCCUCCGUCCUUCUCCCCAGGAUUGUAAACCUCCGUAACAGAAUGUUCAAGGUCUCCUAGGUAUUUCACAAAAAUCGUUUGAGAAAGACUUCCCAGGAUCAUCAAUUUUUAACCAGUGCUUACCAGGCAUAUUCUAAAUUAGUGAGACUUAAACCCUGCCUAAGGAUUUGUCAUGAAGCUCCUGUGAUAUUUUUUCCUACUGGUUUUAGUAAUAACCACCCAUUGUGUGAAUUACACCAUGUGAAUUACACAAAAAUCAUAAGAUUUUUUUAAAAUAAUUUUUUCCCUAAAUGUCAGAAAACCCCACCCUAUAUAUCAUUGUUUAAAAAAAAAACUGAAAAAUACACACAUAUACAAAGGGAAAAUCACUGGUGAUCAUUAGAAACAUCUUAGUGGAUGGGAAAGGUUUUUUUUUUAAGUUCCUCAAAUGUGUUGCAGAAUUUGGGAUUUUCUUGGUGCGGGGGAGGAGUAUUGGGAUAAAAUACUACCAGAAUAAAUUCAAGGAGAAAAAGAGGAAGCCGUUUUACACUAAUACCAGACUCUAGACCACUUCCUUCUCAAAUAGGCACAUCCCCUGUUGUGAAAACAGACCAGGAGCUUCAACGUAGGGAGUGGAAAUAGACUUGAAUAUUCCUUGUGAAUUCUAGGAGCUAAAAGCUCAGGUUUAAUGCAAAACCACAGGACAUACAAGCUCACAGAGUCCAGGUAUACAGAAGGUGUGCAGAAGGGAACAUUCAGAUCUGGUUCGUAAGGGGCAAGGUCAGCACUCUUGCUAGGGGCUCUGGAUUUAAGCACGGACUUUGCAAUGUACUAAUUUUGUGACCUUAGGAAGGUCAUGGUCUCUCUGAGCCACCAUUUUCUAAUCUGUGAAAUGGGACAUUCAACUUCCCCUCUGUGCCUUGCAGUGACAUUUGAAGAUAAUGUAUCUGUAAAAUCCUUUUAAGAGAACAAUGCAAACAUAAGGUGUUAUGUUAAUGAGGCACAAUUCCAAGCUUUACUGUAUUGUUUGGAUCAAAACAUUGUUUCCUUGUCUACAUUAUUUAUCUACAUGGACUUACAGUUGUUUGUGAACAUGAAAUUAAGCAGCUUCCACUGAUGGCCUGCCUAACCAGAAACUUCAGUGGUUUGCUUUUUAGUGAAUUUGCCUCAACUUAUGUUUUUUAAAAAGUACCUAGAAAUAUUCUGUCUCACCAGUAAAGAAACAGUAUGAAGCCGUCCCUAGGUUAAAACCACCUAACUCACAGUUUAUUCCUGAAACAAACAUUUGUUGACUGUGUUUUUGACAUGGUUUACUGGCCUAAGCUCACAAACUUUCCAUAAAUGAAUCAAGAAGUCAGUAUUUCCUAGCCAAACACAUUCUCAUCUGUAUCCCAUCUCUGGCCAAAUUCCGUAGGGAUCUGGCUGUAAAUAAGUAAUGCCUCCUAGGAACACGGGCCUGCCUAUCUGCUGGCCCACGCCCUUUUGCUGUUCCACUUGAAACUUGGAGGCAGGCCAGGGAUAUGGCCAAAAAAUUACUGAGCCAGAACCAGUUAAUCACAGGCCCUCCAGAGGUGGGGACCAGACCCCUGUGCUCUGCACCCUGCGGGGGCAGUGGAGGCGCUUCAGAGUUUACCAUCCUGGUAAGGACCUAAGCCUUCGGGGCAUCACAAGUCUGUUAAAUUACUCCAGUCUUGAACUAAUUUGGUGCAGGUUCCCUGGAUUUAGGCCCCAGUGAGUAGUUGGCUUUUCUGGUUUUGGCACAGGUAAGAAAGGAGGAGGGGAAAAAAAUGGUGUAAGCAAGUUUCGAAAUCUUAGAUCAUUUCAUGAAUGACUCAGUGUUUCCUUCUGGAAAAGUGCAAAUAAUUGGCUUUCAUUAAUAACGUAGCUUUGAAAAAAAUUCCUAAAUAGUGAGCAGCCUUUUAUGCUAUCUGAACACUGCCAUCCUCCAAUCUUCAAUUUUAUAGCUUCCAGAGGAAUUUCAUUCACUUGAUAACGUGUGCUUGUUGAAAACUAAACUGUCACCUACUUCCUCCUUGAAGCUUCCUGUUCUUUCUGAGAAAAGCAUUGAGAUUGUCUUUCUCUUUCUCUCUCUUUUGUUUUCCUAUUUAAAAAUAUUCGGCCAGGCGCAGUGGCUCAUGCCUGUAAUCCUGGCACUUUUAGAGGCUGAGGCAGGCAGAUCACUUGAGGUCAGGAGUUCAAGACCAGCCUGGCCCUCAUGGUGAAACCCUGCCUCUAAUAAAAAUACAAAAAUUAGCCGAGCAUGGUGGUGGGUGCCUGUAGUCCCAGCUACUCCCGGAGGCAAGGGAAUCACUUGAAUUUGGGAGGUCCAGGUUUCAGUGAGCCACUGCUCUCCAAAAAUUAAAUAAGACAUAAUAAAAUAGGCCAGGCGAGGUGGCUCACGCCUGUAAUCCCAGAACUUUGGGAGGCCGAGGCGGGUGGAUCACAAGAUCAGCAGUUCGAGUCCAGUCUGGCCAACAUGGUGAAACCCCAUCUCUACUAAAAAUACAAAAAUUAGCUGGGUGUGGUGGUGGGCGCCUGUAAUCCCAGCUACUCAGGAGGCUGAAGCAGGAGAAUCGCUUGAACCCAGGAGGUGGAGGUUGUGGUGAGCCGAGAUCAUGCGACUGCAUUCCAGUCUGGGCAACAGAGUGAGACUCCAUCUCAAAAAAAAAAAAAAAAAAAAAAAAAUUAAUUAAAAUAAAAAAAUAGUAAACAUAUAGAGUUAUUAUUCUUCUUUGAAAACUAAUUAUAUGCAGCACAAAAGGAAAUAGCCUAUUUCUUCAUAGAAUAAGAAUGUUAUACUGUAUAUUUCUUUAGUUAGAAAUACAUACGUAAAUAUAUUUCAAAUAUGU